RNAcentral lists this long non-coding RNA (300 nucleotides) under Elaeis guineensis (African oil palm). RNAcentral's name for it is "long non-coding RNA (EGUI_LNC038539)". Lineage: Eukaryota; Viridiplantae; Streptophyta; Magnoliopsida; Arecales; Arecaceae. The record is from RNAcentral.
UGAUGACUCAAUUGAUGAACUAGUAGAAACUAUUUUCACUGUUUAUUCCUACUCUAGUCAGAGACUUUCAAAGUCACUUUCCUAUAAGAUCACAUCGGAUGUUCUCUCCUCUUACACAGAGUGAUCGAUUUCUUGUUGAUCACUCACAAUCUCUAUGCACACUUUGUCAAACCCAAAAUAUCCCACACACAUCUCAAAGUGGUGUGCUAGGGACUAAACUAAAGUAAGGAUCCAUAUACAUAAGGUACCAUGAUGAUCUCAGAUCAAAAGAUUACAUGCACCACUCUCACUGAAGAACCA